UUAAGAAAAUAAGUGCAAGCGGUGGAUGCCUUGGCAUUCAGAGGCGAUGAAGGACGUGAUAAUCUGCGAUAAGCUUCGGUUAGCUGGUAAAUGAGCUAUGACCCGGAGAUUUCCGAAUGGGGGAACCCACCUGACACAAGUUGGGUACUCACUCGAUAUAGAGUGUAGAGCGAACGAGGGGAACUGAAACAUCUAAGUACCCUUAGGAAGAGAAAUCAAUUGAGAUUCCCGUAGUAGUGGCGAGCGAAGUGGGAAGAGCCUGGUAUGAUUUAGCUGUAAUUAUAGUAGAACAAGUUGGGAAGCUUGACGAUAGAGGGUGAUAGUCCCGUAUACGAAAUAAUCACAGUGGAACUAAGCAUACGAACAAGUAGGACGGGGCACGUGGAACCUUGUCUGAAUAUGGGGGGACCAUCCUCCAAGGCUAAAUACUCCUGAAUGACCGAUAGUGAACUAGUACCGUGAGGGAAAGGUGAAAAGAACCCUUAUAAAGGGAGUGAAAUAGAAUCUGAAACCGCUUGCAUACAAGCAGUAGGAGCAUGAUUUAGUCAUGUGACUGCGUACCUUUUGUAUAAUGGGUCAGCGAGUUAUUUUUAGUGGCGAGGAUAACUGAAUAAGGGAUCCGUAGCGAAAGCGAGUUUUAAUAGGGCGACUAGUCGCUAGGAGUAGACCCGAAACCGGCGCGAUCUAUCCAUGGCCAGGUUGAAGAUUAGGUAGUACUAAUUGGAGGACCGAACCCAAUACUGUUGCAAAAGUAUGGGAUGAGCUGUGGAUCGGAGUGAAAGGCUAAUCAAGCACGGAGAUAGCUGGUUCUCCCCGAAAACUAUUUAGGUAGUGCCUCGUGUAUAACUCAUUGGGGUAAAGCACUGUUUCGACAAUGGGGGUUUUACGACCUUACUGACUCGAUGCAAACUCAGAAUACGAUGAAGUUCGAUCACGGGAGACACACUGCGGGUGCUAAGGUCCGCAGUGGAAAGGGAAACAGCCCAGACCGCCAACUAAGGUCCCAAAGUCAUAGCUAAGUGGGAAACGAAGUGGGAAGGCCCAGACAGCCAGGAGGUUGGCUUAGAAGCAGCCACCCUUUAAAGAAAGCGUAAUAGCUCACUGGUCGAGUCGGCCUGCACGUAAGAUUUAACGGGGCUAAGCUAUGCACUGAAGUUGCGGAAUAUAUUUAGUAUAUUGGUAGGGGAGCGUUCUGUAAGCCGAUGAAGGUGAAUUGAGAAGUUUGCUGGAGGUAUCAGAAGUGCGAAUGCUGACAUGAGUAACGUAAAAUAAGUGAGAUUCUUAUUGGCCGAAAACCCAAGGGUUCCUACGCAAUGUUAAUCAACGUAGGGUAAGCCGGCCCCUAAGGCGUAGCUGAAGAGUGAAGUCGAUGGGAAACAGGUUAAUAUUCCUGUGCUGCUUAUAUGAACGAAGGAGGGACGGAGAAGGUUAGGUAGGCCUGGCGAAUGGUUGUCCAGGUGAAAGUAUGUAGGUAGGAAUGCUAGGCAAAUCCGGUGUUCUGUUGAUCUGAGAUACGAGACGAAGUUAAACUUGUUUGACGAAGCUAUUGAUACCAUGCUUCCAGGAAAAGCUUCUAAGUAUAUUGUAUAAGUGACCGUACUGUAAACCGACACUGGUGGGUAGGUAGAGAAUACUAAGGCUAUGAGAUAACUCUGGUGAAGGAACUAGGCAAAAUGACACCGUAACUUUGGAAGAAGGUGUGCCCUUGAUGGUGAUGAGACUUGCUCUUUGAGCUGUUGGGGGUUGCAGAUACCAGGUGGCUGCGACUGUUUAUCAAAAACACAGCACUCUGCGAAAUCGUAAGAUGAAGUAUAGGGUGUGACGCCUGCCCGGUGCUGGAAGGUUAAUUGAAGGGGUUAGCGCAAGCGAAGCUCUGGAUCGAAGCCCCAGUAAACGGCGGCCGUAACUAUAACGGUCCUAAGGUAGCGAAAUUCCUUGUCGGGUAAGUUCCGACCUGCACGAA
Molecule: ribosomal RNA, 1963 nt
Filed under: Francisella tularensis subsp. holarctica
Lineage: Bacteria; Pseudomonadati; Pseudomonadota; Gammaproteobacteria; Thiotrichales; Francisellaceae
Description: bacterial LSU rRNA
Rfam family: Bacterial large subunit ribosomal RNA
Source: RNAcentral